UACGGGAGGCAGCAGUGGGGAAUAUUGCACAAUGGGCGCAAGCCUGAUGCAGCCAUGCCGCGUGUAUGAAGAAGGCCUUCGGGUUGUAAAGUACUUUCAGUCGUGAGGAAGGUGUUAAGGUUAAUAACCUUAGCAAUUGACGUUAGCGACAGAAGAAGCACCGGCUAACUCCGUGCCAGCAGCCGCGGUAAUACGGAGGGUGCGAGCGUUAAUCGGAAUUACUGGGCGUAAAGGGCACGCAGGCGGUUAAUUAAGUUGGAUGUGAAUCCCCGGGCUUAACCUGGGAAUGGCAUUCAAGACUGGUUAGCUAGAGUCUUGUAGAGGGGGUAGAAUUCCAUGUGUAGCGGUGAAAUGCGUAGAGAUGUGGAGGAAUACCGGUGGCGAAGGCGGCCCCUGGGACAAAGACUGACGCUCAUGUGCGAAAGCGUGGGGAGCAAACAGGGAUUAGAUACC
This 453-nucleotide ribosomal RNA is filed under the name uncultured bacterium. RNAcentral describes it as "bacterial SSU rRNA". It matches the Rfam family "Bacterial small subunit ribosomal RNA", at positions 340 to 786 of the family's 1533-position model. The record is from RNAcentral.